Long non-coding RNA from Oncorhynchus tshawytscha (Chinook salmon), 1569 nucleotides. Lineage: Eukaryota; Metazoa; Chordata; Actinopteri; Salmoniformes; Salmonidae. The record is from Ensembl.
AGCAGCAGCAUACCGAGCAGUGUUGUGACACAGCAGAAUGAUGUCACCUCCUUCAGACGUGGUCUGCCUACCUAAUCACAGCCCCCCCCAAAAAUUGCAUUACUCCUCUUCCAAACCACUCAUGGCAGAAAACACAACGAAACAACCAAGUUCCAUAGGCCUUAAUUUUUCAUGACUAGAACACUUGCUGCUGGCUGCCGUAGAAGUGGAACCAAGAGACCAUGAGUGAAGGUAACUAGCAUGGAGCCAAACGAGUGGCAGCUGUUUAUUGUUAAUAUUCAUAUGACCUCUUUUAGACUUUGUUUGGAAAUCCUUUUAAGCAGUACUUACGUCCUCGUUGACACAGACACACUGAAGAAAAGCCUCCUGGGUCUGACAGUCUCCAGGCUGCAUCACAGGGUAUUGUGACGACAUGGGCCUGCUUUGUGUGGCCCCGGCAGGUGGGACCAACCCCCUCAGGCUGGACCCUCUGCAGGGCGAGAGGCGCCAAACUCCAUCUGCUGCAACGACGACUGCAGCCGCCACAGCUAAACCUAAACCUACCGGCUGAGUGAGUUGGGGCCCCUCCAUUCCCUCUGCUCCCCUCCACUCCACAGCAACACAAAGACAGUCUGCUCAUCUGUCAACCAGGGAAUAGAAAGCGGCCCUGGGCCCCAAUGACUCCUAUUCACUCCAUUGAAUGCAAUUAUUCAAAUCCUAUCCCAGCUAUGAAUGUGCAUGUGUAGACCUUUCUCUUGGGCCGGCCAAGGUGUCGGAGGUUAGAGGAGAGGAAUGCUAUUAUAACAGGCUGUUCAUGACCAUAUUUGUCCGUGUUGUCUGAGGCUGCCAUAGUGAAACAAGAGCUCAGCAAAGUUUUGGAGAGAACAGGUGUAGGGAACACCUGGUAUCUGUGUGGUGGUAGAUAUCUCUAUCAGUGAUCUCUGAGAGGGAGGGGAGAAUAUUCCUGAGCCAAAGGUUUGUCUGUUCUUUUUAUGUUGCUAUUGAAAUGGUAACACUUUACUUGACAACCAGCUUCAUAACACGUUAGAAUUUGCUCAAAUCUAGCUGUAAUUUAAGAUUUUUUAUACAAAAAGCAUUCCUUGAUUCUGUCCAAAGCAAUGGUAAGCAAAAUCAGGUAAACUUCCAAAAGCACACUUUCUUUUCUUUUCUUUUUUGUCAACUUGUUUUGACAUCGCAUUGUUGUUUUUACCUGUAUAGAUGAUGUAUUUUGGAUGUUUUUAGUGUAUUUUGAAUGCUUUCAGACAAUGCCAUUAAUCGCAAUGAAAAAUAAACGUUAAUUUAAUUUUUUUUUAAAGUUAACUUGAGUUAACUGAUUAAAUCUGACAGCCUUAUUAAUAACCUUACUUUCUCACUGAAUAAAUGAGUACAGCAUACUGAACAUUUUACCUCACAACAAGUGAAUGUAAAAUUAGCAGCGUUGGGUUUGAAAUGAAUAUGCACAGAAGGCAGUUGAACUUAGAGGAAGCUGUGUGACCUGUGCUAUUUUUAGGAGGAGAUAACUGUAUCUUAGAAAUGUAGGCUACAACUGCAGUAAAUAUUUGACUAUAGCACUUUGUUCCUUUCCAGAGC